This 758-nucleotide long non-coding RNA is filed under the name Salvia miltiorrhiza (redroot sage). RNAcentral's name for it is "long non-coding RNA (SMIL_LNC011554)". Lineage: Eukaryota; Viridiplantae; Streptophyta; Magnoliopsida; Lamiales; Lamiaceae. The record is from RNAcentral.
CUUAAGGUUUUGGUGCAACACCCUGUUGAGCAACUCUUGACGUGAUUUGUCCGGUAGAUGCUAGGGGGAGUGUUUUCAGUGCAAUUUCCUAAUAUCUUUCUCUGUGCUGAAUUGUUUGGUUGGUUGUUGAGUUCUGAUAGCUUUGGGUCUCUGCUCCUCUAAUGGUUUCAUUAUGAGCAUGGGAAACCACACGAGAAUAUUUUGGAUCACCUCCAAAAGUUCAAUCUUGUGAAUUAUGGCCCAUCUAUUAAGAGCGAAAAUAACUUGACCCCAAAAAAAAAAAAGAGAAGUGAAAUGUGAAAAAUGAACGAAUGUGAAAAAUGAAUGAGAUAUGAUUGUAAAGGAAAUUGCAUUAGGAAAUUCACCCCUAGCGGAGAAUCGGGUCUGAUCGGAUUGAGUUGUAUCACCUUCUUGUUGCAUUUUUAAACCUUAACUUUGAGCAUCUGAUUGGGGACAUUGAUAUCUUGAAGGACUUGGAUUGGUUUGUGUUUGCUUGGUGAGAAGAAUCGCUUAUGGAUUUUCUGUCGAUGUUGUGACUGUUGCUUGAGGACAAGCAAGGAUUUAAGUGUGGGGGGGUUGUUUAGCCCUAUUUUGUGAUGAUUUUGUGAGUUUUCCUGCUGUGCUUUCGAGCUCGUUUCGUACCUUUUUGCUCUAUAUUUCAUGUGCUCGAUGAUCUUUUUGGAUGUACUAUUGUCGCGUGCAGGAUUCGCGAGUUGCCGAGCGUUUUGGCAUUGUUUCGAGCAUGUUUUGGAGUCAGG